RNAcentral lists this long non-coding RNA (1301 nucleotides) under Salvia miltiorrhiza (redroot sage). RNAcentral's name for it is "long non-coding RNA (SMIL_LNC000702)". Lineage: Eukaryota; Viridiplantae; Streptophyta; Magnoliopsida; Lamiales; Lamiaceae. The record is from RNAcentral.
CCCACUUAAAAAUUGUAAAAAAUGGCCGGUCACAAUUCACACCACACCUUCAAUCCUCUCUCUCUCCCUCCCUCCGGAUCUCCCUCUCCCUCUCGCCACCCGUCCGCCGCCCGUCCGCCGCGCCGCGCGGCCACUCAAUCUCCGGCAGCACCGCACAGCCACCACCACCGCGACGCACAUCACCUCUUUCUCAUCUCCUCCGGCGACCACAACUCCUGCUACAGCCGCCGCCCUCAACAACUCUCCCUCUCUGCUCGAGCUCCGGCGCCUGAGCCCUAGCUCCCCCAAUCCAGUCGCCCUCACCCCUACCCUUAUCUCUCUCUGGCGAAGAGAAGCCAGAUCCGCCGGCCAUCCAGAUUCAGGCAGAUCUCUCUCGAUCUCUCUCUCAAUUCGACACAACACUCUCUUCUCCUUCAGGUCCUGAUCGAAAUCCGACGGAUCGACGUGGCCAAACUCGGUGCGGAUCUUGAGGAUUAAGAUCUCCGUGGCAGAAGUGGCGGUCCUCCUGGACGCAGACGUCAAGGCAGAGCGCGCCGACGGCGAGCUAGUCAUAGAUAGAGAGGUUUUGGCACUAGGCGAAGGGGAGUUCCAGACCUCCGAUUUGGCACGCGGUGGUCUCUCUCUCUCCACUCUCUUCUCUCUCUUUCGAUCUGCCAGAUUUGGAGGAUAUGUAGGAUUCAACAGAUUUGUUUUAUUUAGUUAAUGAGAUAGAUUUGCGCAUGGUUAUGAUUGGUUGUGAGGAAUUGAUAUAAAUUGUGAAUAAUUGAUUUGUGAGGAAUUGAUNUACAUGAAAAAAAAUAUUCAAUGUGCAUAUUAAAUUUAAGUUCUAACAAGAUAUAUCUUCGAGUUAAUAUAUAAAAGUAUCCACUUUCAUAUUGUAAAAUUAAAAUCUAGCCUAUGAAAUAAAAACAUUAAAAUAUGGCUAGUUUUUAUGUAAAAGUACAAAAUUACCCCCCACUUAAAAAUUGUAAAAAAUGGCCGGUCACAAUUCACACCACACCUUCAAUUCUCUCUCUCUAUCCCUCUACGGCUCUNCCUCUCCCUCUCGCCACUCAUCCGCCGCGCUGCGCGGCCACUCAAUCUCCGGCAGCACCGCACAGCCACCACCACCGCGACGCACAACACCUCUUUCUCAUCUCCUCCGGCGACCACAACUCCUGCUACAGCCGCCGCCCUCAACAACUCUCCCUCUCUGCUCGAGCUCCGGCGCCUGAGCCCUAGCUCCCCCAAAUCCAGUCGCCCUUACCCUUAUCUCUCUCCGGCGAAGAGAAGCCAGAUCCGCCGGCCAUCCAGACUCUCUC